Long non-coding RNA from Leucoraja erinaceus (little skate), 3443 nucleotides. RefSeq lists it as uncharacterized. The record is from RefSeq and is a predicted model, not a curated record. The transcript is spliced from 3 exons. NCBI's taxonomy places the organism in Eukaryota, Metazoa, Chordata, Chondrichthyes, Rajiformes, Rajidae.
CCCUCAAUAGCAAGAAUGUCGUUCCUCAAAUUAGGGGACCAAAACUGCACACAAUACUCCAGGUGUGGUCUCACUUGGGCUCUGAACUGCAGAAGGACCUCUUUGCUCCUAUAUUCGAUUCCUCUUCUUGUAAAGGCCAACAUGCCAUUCGCUUUCUUCACUGCCUGCUGUACCUGCAUGCUUACUUUCAUAGACUGAUGAACAAGGACCCCCAGAUCCCGUUGUACUUCCCCUUUUCCCAACUUGACGCCAUUUAGAUAGUAACCUGCCUUCCUGUUUUUGCUACCAAAGUGGAUAACCUCACAUUUAUCCGCAUUAAACUGCAUCUGCCAUGCAUCUGCCCACUCCCCCAACCUGUCCAAGUCACCCUGCAUUCUCAUAGCAUCCGCCUCACAGUUCACACUGCCACCCAGCUUUGUGUCAUCUGCAAAUUUGCUAAUGUUACUUUGAAUCCCUUCAUCCAAAUCAUUGAUGUAUAUUGUAAAUAUCUGUGGUCCCAGCUCCAAGCCUUGCGGUACCCCACUAGUCACUGCCUGCCAUUCUGAAAGGAACCCGUUAAUCCCUACUCUUUGGUUCCUGUCUGCCAACCACUUCUCUAUCUAUGUCAGCACUCUACCCCCAAUACCAUGUGCCCUAAUUUUGCCCACUAAUCUCCUAUGUGGGACCUUAUCAAAUGAUUUCUGAAAAUCCAGGUACACUACAUCCACUGGCUCUCCCUUGUCCAGUUUCCUAGUUACAUCUUCAAAAAAUUCCAGAAGAUUAGUCAAGCAUGAUUUCCCCUUCAUAAAUCCAUGCUGACUCGGACCGAUCUUGCUACUGCUAAUCAAAUGUUCGGCUAUUUCAUCUUUUAUAAUUGACUCCAGCAUCUUCCCCACCACUGAUGUCAGGCUAAUUGGUCUAUAAUUCCCUGUUUUCUCUCUCCCGCCUGUCUUAAAAAUUGGGAUAACAUUAGGUACCCUCCAAUCCACAGGAACUGAUACCGCAGGCAGCCGUGCUCUGAGGAGAGGAGCAUUCAUGGUCCAUUUCAGUCUAAGACAAGCUGUUCUAAGAAUCCAUCACAAAGGCACUCUACAAAGUCCCUUUCUUUGGGUCCAGUACCAACCUGAUUUUCCCAGUCUACCUGUAACAACCACAGCAUUACUUUUGCUACAUGCCAAUUUUAACUCCUGAUUCAACUUGUGCCCUAUGUCCAGGCUGCUGAUCUCUGCUACCUGCCGCCCACAUCCUGGAUGAGCUCACAAUGAGAAUUCUUGUCAUUGGCACUCAUCAGCAGGUCCUCAUCUAGAUUAACUAGUUUCUUCUGCAUGUAAAGACAUGAAAAGAUAAGAUUAUAAUCAAAUAUGUAGAAAUUAGUUCAAUGUGUAUAUUUUGAAUUAAUUUAAAUCAUUAAAAAAUCUUAUUGUUCAGAUCUGUUGGAAUAACACAGUGUUUAAAAAUAUUUAAUUUUGUACUAAUUUCAUUUAGUUUAGAGAUACAGCAUGGAAACGGCCCCUUUGGCCCACUGAGUUCACAGCGACCAUCGACUUGUUCCAUGUUAUCGUAUUUUCUCAUCCACUCACUCCACUUGGGGAAAUUUACAGAGGGUCCAUUAUCCUACAAGCUCACACAUCUUUGGGAUGUGGAUAGGAACCGGAGCGCCCGGAGGAAACCUAUGCGGUCCCCGGGAGAACGUGCAAACUCUACACAGACAGCACCCAAGGUGAACAGCAAAGAGCAUAUUGGCUGCUUGCAUCAUGGCAUGGUUCGGCAAAUCGGACGCCAAGGAAGUUUGUCUUUGUGAUGUGGAGUAGGAGGAUGCGUGGGGAAACCAGAGCAACUACUUUUGCGUGCGGACACACAAGCGGUCACAAGCAAAGAUCCUGGGAUCUUUGGUCACAAGAAGAAGCCUACACGUCAGGCAACUGAAGUCAGGAUCAGAUGUGCGUCUCCAGAGAGGUGACUAACCACUGAACUUGAUGAUGAGAAUCAUCACAAAGAAGCAAUGAAUGUCACCGAGAUCUUUCCAUAGUGAGGGGAAUACAUCUGUUCUUGCUGCAUGCACUAAUAUUACAUUAAAACUGUGCUGGCUCGAAGGGCCGAAUGGCCUACUCCUGCACCCAUUUCUAUUAUAUUUGACAUUUAUCAUACUCAGCUUUCGAACCUUGGUUCUGGAGUUCUGGAAGCAGAGUACUAGGUUCACUGGCAGAGUACUAGGUGACACUUGGUUCACAUAAAAUGCUGGAGUAAUUUAGCGGGUCAGGCAGCAUUCUAGACAAUGAUGCCCAGAGAUGCUGCCUAAACCCGCUGAGUUACUCCGGCAUUUUUUUUCUAUCUUCGGUGCAAACCAGCAUCUGCAGUUCCUUGUUACACACUAGAAUGAGCUACUCAGAUUGAGCAACCUCAGGGCGACAGCAUGAAGCAGAAGUAUGGGGAACAUCUAUUUCAUCAUUGAAGUUGUAGUGCUCCUACAAACACUGUCCAAAAGUGCUUUCACCCGCAAGUAAAAAUAACAAAUGAUAAAAUGACAAGUGAUCCUAGGAGAGAAAGUGUGGUAUCUGUAUGCCUACGAGUUCAGAGUGAGUGACCAUAAAAACACCAACCAUGUGUGGUUACAGGGUAAGGAAUGCCAAAAAAAUGGAGUGAUUGAUUCGUCAAAGGGAAGCGAGUUGGACGCAUACAUCACGGGGGUUUUAAUAAUAUAAAGCAGAUACGAAUAAGAAAGUUGGGCUGAGAAUGGUCCCAUGCGUGUAAACAUCAGUGCAGUCCAAUUGGACGGCUCUUUGUUUCUGCGUUGUACUUUCUUUGUCAAGUAAUUUUAAAUUGUGAAAACUAUUUUUUAAAGAUCUGUUAGGUAGUGGGUAAUGACCUACUGCGCCGUACAGCUACACACAUCUCGAAACCAGGGAGUUUCUAGUCUGGAUAUGGAUAAACAAAGUCUUCAUUUGCGAAGUGUCCCAUCGUGAUUGUAUGGUAAACGAUUUAGUGUAUGCAAGAUAAACAUCUUCCUGGAUUUUAGUAAUCUCUUCCAAAUUGCAUCAUCCCGACUACGUGAGGGAAUGGCAGGGUGUAUGUGCGGAUAGUCAUGUGCCUGCUGUAAUCUGAGAAAAUAAUUUACAUCAGCGCGAACAACAACAUUUAAAUUGCAUUUGCCAAAGAUCUCAGAGCGGCUACUGACUGCCUUUAUUGCCCCAGUCCGGGAAUGUGUUCGACAGCACAUCCGCCCUUGCGACUAAUUCUAGAUUUUUAAAAUAAUCUACAAAUAUAACUUUCGCGAAUUUAAUAUAUGGGUGCUUUUAAUAUAUAUUUCAAAACGUUUACGUUGUAAAUGAAUUAUUUUGGUGGUAAAUAAAACUGGGGUGAAAUGUAAAAUAUUUGUGUUUUCUAAUGAAAACCACGUGUGGGUGAGCUGUAAAGCAGGGGCAGGACUGGGGCAGCGAGUGCUUUAUAAACCUCCCACAUCCGCU